Ictalurus punctatus (channel catfish) is the source of this 8972-nucleotide long non-coding RNA. The record is from Ensembl. Lineage: Eukaryota; Metazoa; Chordata; Actinopteri; Siluriformes; Ictaluridae.
GCUUUGUAUUACAGAUACCUUUGGCGAACAGAAAAUUCAGCACGGAGAGUGUAUUGCUGGCAGCACACCAGAGCUGUAUUUAGUGAAAAAAAAACAAACAAAACAUUUAAAACGUGCUCAUUCUCAGUAUCGAUGAAUCUAACACGUGAAAAAUGGCUCACGCAGCUAUGUUCUAGACUUAACUCUCAACACAACACAGGAGGAGCAAAGGGAGGGGAGAGUUUGUUUUCCCGGUCGGUCUAUUGCAAGCCACGAAAGCCUACUUUCACUCCAUCACAGGCAGAAUGACAGUUGACGUGGUGAAAUUUACGUGGAAGGUCAGCAGAUUUACGGGCGCCACGUUCACCCGCACAAUCACAAAUAAAAUCAAACGCAAGCCGAGCAAUGAGUUAACAAGAGACAGGGAGAAAAUUGGAAAAUGUCAGACAAGGUGCAGCAGAAGAAUGAAUUUGUCCAAGUGUGUGCGCGCGCAUGUGUGUGUGUGUGUUUGUGUGUGUGAUAACUAGAUAGAAGUGGAGAGACAUUUUCCCGCUCUGUGUCCAGUUGUAUGAAGCAAAAAAGGCAUGAAGGGACAGAACGAGGAGGAAGAAAGAACGAAACAGAGUGACGGGGCGAAAGCUUGUGACAGGCGAGAAGCCGUGCACGAAAGAGUGACAGAGCAAAAAAGGGUCAAGGAAUGAGAAAGUGAGAAAGACAUAAUGUGUGUGUGUGAGAGAGAGAGAGAGAGAGAGCGAGAAAGUGAUGGAGGCUCGGAUGGUGUCAGGGACUGUGUGUCCUGUGCCAGGCUGGAAUAAAGUGUCCGUGUCGAAGGCCCGAGCUUCCCCAGGGCUGCGCUGAUUAAUUGAGCUGUCCGAGCCCUCUGAUGGCGGCUCCUUUACGUAGAGCUCCUGGGAAACUCACCCGGCUUCCAUCAGAAAAGAGGGGGGAAAUCAUCUUUUUCCCCAUGCUAAAAUUAGAAACUUUCUCGCUAUGUUCUUACAUCAGCAUGCGCUUCACCUUGCCGGAAGGGUUUAAUGAUCAUCUGAGAGAGAAAGAGAGAGAGAGACAAUUGGACAGACAAAACGCCGUGCAACUUGGACACAUCCCCCUCCUUCCUCCGUCACUCACCACACUCGGUGUGCGGUGGCCGAAGAUGAAGCGCUGCUGUCUCAGGUAAAUGGCCACCAGAGGUCAAAAAUGGUGCAGUGUUGACUCCGGGCAAAAGCUCAGCUAUUUUAUUAUGCCUGACCUAACUUUAGACUAUCUAGCCUUUUCAUUUCUGUCAGGUAGGGGUCCGGAAUCAAGUGAAAUGUGUGAGAGUCGGGCUGGUUGGAUUUUGUUCUGUUUUAUAGAAAUAAGGUGUGCUCACUUCACCUCUAAUCCCAAUCUGGUCCUUUUGUAACGUCGCGUACACAUUGUGAGGUUUUCGAAAAACAUGGAAGCAUGAGACCAUCUUCCCAUUCCAAAAUGAUCUAAAGUAACCCCAGGUCUUGGACGCAUAGGGGAAAUUUGUUGGCCUGAAGAGUUGGUUAGCACGAUUGUCUCAUACCUCCGGGGUCGGGGGUUCGAACCCCAUCUCCGCCCUGUGUGCGCGGAGUUUGCAUGUUUUCUCCGGGUACUCCGGUUUCCUCCCCCAGUCUAAAAACAUUUCCUGUAGGCUGAUUUCUGACUAAUUUCCAAAUUGUCCGUAGUGUGUCAAUGUGUGUGCGAUUGUACCCUGCGAUGGGUUGGCACCCCGUCCACGGCGUCCCCUGCCUCGUGCUCCGAGCUCCCUGGGAUAGGCUCCCCGCGACCCUGAGUAGAACAAUGGAUGGAUGGAUGGACGUGAUCUUGCCUACGUAGUGCAUUACAGCGCCUGCUUCCCUUUCCUUGCACUCGAACCAGGUAUAAGUGUUCUGUAUCACACCCAGUCACUUCUCAAGGACGUUUCUCCCUCUCGUUCUCUUUCUCUCGCGCCCUCGCUCUUUUUAUCUGUCCUGAGCAGUGGUAUUUCUGUCCUGCUGCAAGGUGACUGCUUGUUCCUGCUUAUUCAAGCUCCAUGUACUGCAUUUCAGCCAGUGCGGGGUUUCUUUUGGUGCUCUUUUCAUAUUUUUUUUUUGUGGUGGUUUUUGCUCGUUUAACCUUUCUCAUUCCCAUACUGCCACCUUUCCGCUGUCCUUUUGCACGAGCGGCUCAUUUGUAACCGGCCACAUGCACGAAAGCAUGAAAUUCAGCAAGACGCACAAUGACAAGUUCUCUCGGGCUUGAAUGCAAAUGCUUACAUAUGCAACAUGAGGUGGAGAAAACACACACACCCACACACACACACACACAGAGAGAACACAACUAAUUAAAGCAAUGCUUUCAUGUCAACUGUCUACUCAGCCAUUUGACUGGACUCCACAUAUUUAUUCAUCUGCACACUGAGAUGAAUCCGGAGCGGCGCGGCGGUCUCCUCGGAGCAGUCAAUAUCGCUCAAAGCAGCGCUGUAAUUACACUCAAAUGCAGCUUAGCUAUAAAUACUUUAAAAAAGGAUUACGGAAAGAAUGUGCAGAAAACACAGAAAUCAUUCUUUCUGCACAACUCGCAAGAGAACGAGCGAAAACAAAAAAAAAGAAAACCCCAAAACACCAUGAAAUGCUCCAGGAGAGGACGGGCUCUGCAUUUCCUCUCCACGUUCCAGCCUGUUAUUACUCUUUUAUUUGUUAACUCUACAAUUCAGGAGCUGAGAAGAAAAAAAGAAAAAAAAAAGGAACAGAAACAUAAAGUACAACAACUCACUCAGAUGUCAACGACUUCAGAGAGAAGAAGCAGGAAAAAAAAAAGGGCGCAAAGAGACAAUUAACGAAGUUAUAAUUCGUACGUCGUGGUAAUGAGCGUGUCUUAGUGAGGAUUAGGAUGAUGGGCAUUGUUGUCGUUAUUCCUCUCUAUUGUAGCACGCACAAAGCCAGGGAUGAAAGAAGACUGAGGAGGAGGAAAGAACCAGAAGAGCCGCAAAAUACCGUGUUGGACGAGUGACGCUGUCAGUCACAAUCUCUCUUCAGUCAUGCUAGACAAAUCCUCAGCAUGCUGCUCGGCGAACGCUACGGCGUUGUUUUUAAUUGUAGCCUGACAAAAGCUGUCUCGAAUUCACCGCUGAGGCACAAAAGCAGCUCUCAGACUUCAUCUUCACGGACGUUUGAGCAGCACUUUGGUAAGAUGAGUCACAGGCCAGCGUGCUCAGAACGACUGUACGGUGCGGUGCGAGCUCGGGCCCCGAACAAUAGCCGUCGAGGGUUUAGCAUUGAUUGGCAUCGCGCUGUUUGUUGCCUUUGUGUCAGUCUUCACCACCUUCCAGUCAACACUGCCGGCUACGUUAUUAUCCAACAAGUCUGUUUAUUUCCAGUUACAGCAGCAAACACUGGCACUGUUUUUUUUUUUCUAUGAAAAUAUCUUGUUACCAAGCACAAGUCAGGGAGAUAUUCAUUUUGAAUACUUGACUGCUCACUAAUAGCUCAGGUUUUUGGCUAAUCGUUGGGUUUUGGGUUCAAACCUACAUUAUUGUUAGCCCCAAUCGGUCUCUUGGUUAAAUUGAGUAAUCUGCAAUGGUAUUUUGCUAACCAAUGAAAAUCACAACCAAAUACCAUAUCAUCCAUCCAUCCAGCCGUCAUGUCUGCUGCUCAUCAUGUUGGAGAUUGUUAUGUUGCUGGUCAUCAUGUUGGUAGUCUUCAUGUUGCUGUUUGCCAGGUUGUGGGUAGUCACACUGGGGGUCAUCUUGUUGCUGGUCAUUACCUUGGUAGCCGUUAUGUCGCUAAUAAUCAUGCUGUUCGUCAGCAUGCCACUGAUCGGCAGGUUGUGGGUAGUCACGCUUGUGGGUCAUCAAGUUGCUGGUCGUCAUGUUGGUAGUUGCAAUAUUGCUGGUUGUUAUGUGGUAGUCGUCAGGUUGCUGGUCACCAUGUUGGUAGUCAUCAUGUUGCUGGUCAUCAUGUUGGUAGUCAUCAUGUCGGUAGUCAUCGUUCUACUGGUUGCCAGGUUGUGGGAAGUCACGCUGUGGGUCAUUAUGUAGCGGGUCAUCAUGUUGCAGGUCUCCAUACUGCAAAGUGUCAUGUUGUUGGUCAGCAUGUUCUGGUCGUCAUGUUUUGCGGGUCACUGUGUCACUGGUCAGGGUGUUGCUGCUUGUCAGAACUGUUGCUGUAUUUAAAGUAAUGCUCACCUGUCGCUUUCUCACUUGUUAGCAAAUCUGCCAGUUCAAAUUUUGGUUAGUGCACUGGACGCUCGGCCCGGGUAAAUUUCAUUCCUAAGGUUCUACUUGGGCAAAAUGUCUACUCGGAGCCUUUGGAAUCAAUCCCGCCGUUAUUACACCAGCCCUGCUCGCUAGCAGUCAAUCAGGAGGCCGGAUCAGAUUAGAUUUUCGUUUUUUUUUUUUUAAUGCUUAUGGCUGGUGCGAUAGCGAGCUUGCUAAUAAAACCCGGACAGUUCAGCAAGCUAGGCAGAUUGCCGGUAAACGUUCAAAUGGACUAACCCUUGUGUACACAUAAGACUUCAUGUAUUACUACUGAAUUAGUUUGAAGAUGUUGAUUCUUAAAUUGAGCGUAACAUUAAAAAUGCUAAUUUACAUUACACUGCUGAGUAUUUUUUUUCCACUUCCAAUCUGAUGAUGCCCGUUUGUAUAAAUGACUGUGGUUUCCCUCUAAAGUGCUGCACAUGAAAGUUCUGGUUUUACUGAUUCCCUUAGGCCCAGCUCGGAGAUAAAGUCAAAUCAGAUCAGCAGCAGGAUCACCGGAUAAGCGCUGUUUACUGCUACUGGCCCAUGGUCACAUGUCGUAUAUGAAUAUAGCACAAGUGUGGAAUGUGAGAGAUCAACAGAUCGCACACACAGCGCAGAACAGCGCAGCAGGUGCACAUAACAGCAUAUGACAGUCGGGAAAUAUCUCACUCUGACACACCCACAUAGAGCAGUGGGCGGGGAGAGCUUCCCGAUUUCCCCAUUAAGACAUUUCACACUUAACACGAGCUAUACUUGUAACGCUGUGACACUCGGCGUCUCCUGAUGAAUAGCCGUGUAAUGAAAGCAGCACAGACGAUGCAAAGAUAAAACGAGAAGAAGGAAAUAUGGUAUGAGACUGAGGAGGUUAAACAUGUGAUAUCAAUUUCAAUUUCUCUGUUUUGGAGCGACCCAAAUGUACGAAAACAGAAUUUCCACAAAAAAAAAAAACUAAAUAAACAGACAAGUACAUAAAUAAACAAACAAAUAAAUAAGUAAAUAGGGAAAUAUCUUUUUUUUUUUAAAAUACAUUUAAUAAAUGACUAAUAAAUCCUAACCCAGAGUUUUACGAACAUUUGUUUAAACGUCUGUGAUGUAAUGGGUCACAUGACCAGGCACAUUUACCUCGUGCGCUUGAGUAAGAAGACAUCAGUUUUUAACUCUGCAGAAGCACGUAAAAGUCUCUAUAAUAGCGCUACAACUGCGCCAUCUGGCACGUAUUCCACAGUGCUGUUGAAUUCUCGACUGAUUGGUCAGAAGGCUGUUGAUUCAUUUUGUAAAACAGCAGCUCUGACUGUAGCGCAGAUAAAAAUCGGAGGUUUCUAUGAACGCGCGCCGCAUAAACAGAUAAAAGCACAUGUAAUCACUAGCUGCGUUUACAUGGACAACAAUAAUCCACUCUUAAUCCGAUUAAGACCAUACUCUGAUUAAGAAACUACCAUGUAAACAGCAAUUUUUACUUACCUUAAUCUAAUUAAGGUCAUAAUCGAAGUAAGCAAUAAUCUAAUUAAGACAGGUGGAGUACUCUUGUUUUAGUCGCAUUAUGGACGUGUAGUAGUGACAUGUAAACACCUUAAUCACAUUAUGAACGUCGUGUGAGAGUUUUCACCGCAAUUUGUGACAGGACACGAUCACACACGGCAGUUUUACAUUUAACGGCGAACAAGAGAGUUCGGCUGUGUCCCAAAUCGCAUACUUUCCUACUAUAGGUCUGUAGUGGGGAAAAAUACAUGUAUCUCGGCUACUAUAUAGACGGUAAGUACGCGAUUUGGGACGCACCCACCGCUUCAAGCAGUCGUCUAUUUGCACGUACAGCAUGACAAAUAAUUUACCGCACUUAAAGCGUUCGUUAAAAAAAAAAAAAAAAAAACCCAAACUGUAUACGGUACCAUAACGAAGACGAACUGUAUGUUGAUACGUGAAAUUCUGGAGGGACGUCGGACGGCGUGGCGCGGUGACGUAAUGACGCGGGCUGUUAAUCUAAUUAUGUUCUAUAACAUGUAAAGCGGGUACAUGACAGGAGCGUUAUAAAAGCGACUCAUGUAAACACCUUAAUCACAUUAUUAUCUUACUCAGAGUAAGGUCAAUAAUUAGAUUACUGCUGUCCAUGUAAACGUAGUCAUAGAUAUGGUGAAGGAUUCUGUAAGAAGUUGUUUAUUUAACGUGUAUGGAAGGAGUCUCCAGUGCCAGUGCUUUGUAACCGUCAGAUGUAACGCUCUAACUGUUCUGGCAUGUUUCUGGUGGUGUAAUAAUUCAUUUCUCGUAAUCAGUCGGCCAUCUUGGAAGCAGAAACAAACAAACAGGUGCGCGGAAGAUGGCGCAUGCGGUCGAAACCUCUUCUCCGUAACGCUCCGUUGAUGUGCGGAGGAUCCCUGGGAAAGACCGAUUUAAUAUGCAGCUGGAGUUUCAUCACACGAACAAACACAGUGUGAUCACCAUGAGCUGAAAACUGAUCUAGAAGAUAAACCGAGAGAUCAAUACUUCAGCGUCCUCUGCUCUCUGUCUCACCUGCCUGGUACGACAGAGAGAGAGAGAGAGACGAAGAGAACGCAUUGUAUAAGAGAAGGACACAGAGAGCGUGAGAUGUUCCAGAGAUGGACUGCAUGAGAGAAAGAGAGAACAGAGCGCUCCAGCUGGAGUGGGCUUUUCGGAGCUCGGGGCAGAGAGUGGCACUGUGCCAGCAGAAUCAAAGAGAGCUUUUCUUCCCAUUGAGGCCCCUGAGCAGAAAGGUCACCCCGCCUUUCUUAGUGCGCCGUGGGGGAGAAACCAAUAAACCAGUUCUGUGAGAGACGUCAGCUCAUUGCCGCGCAGGCCAUCUCAUCGCGCUUUAAUGGAAUGAAGGGGAAGCAGAGAUGGCCUUGUGCUUGGACGAGCUGUGCCGUGUAAACAUUUGGAUGCACUGUGAACUUGAGAUUAGCUUAUAAAUAAAUAUCCAGUGUUCUCCUAUCGAACCCGGGACGCUGUGUGCACUGUGGAGUGAACUGGGUUAAGGAUCAAAUCAGUUAAACAGAGACGAGUUAACCCUGUCCGACCAGAACGAUGGAAUUCCACGCUGUCUUUAGAGCGGCGCUGCUGCUUGGGGCUUUCAGUAAGACAGCUAGCUGCUGUCUGUUUACAAUUAAACUGACGUAACUGGACUACACAUCAAGCCACAGUUCGUCAGCGUUGAAGAUACUGUUCUAUCAUAGGAAAAUUUCAAAUAUAUAUAUUAAAUAUAUUAAAUAUAUUGUUUCCUCAUGCCUAGUGUAUUGUUCUUUGGUUUGAUAUAUUUCUGGGUUAUUUUAUACAUACAAAAGGUCAGCAUUUCAGCUUUCAUUUCCUCAUAUUUACAUCUUAAACAACUUUUGUCUCAGACCACCCAGUUUUUAUGCGAGCAAAAGUAUAGGAACAGAUAAGACUUGAAGUAAGUAGCCCCCCCGCUUGCAAUAACUACAUCAAGCCUGUCACCCAGUGACAUCACCAAAUUGUCGGUUUCUUCUUUUGUGCUGCGUUUCCAGGCUUUUACAGCAGCCACUUUCCGUUAUUGUUUGCUUUGACGGGUUUCUACAUUCAGUCUCCUCUUCAGGAGGUAAAAUGCUUCUCGACUGGGUUAACGCGUCUGGGCAUUUCUCUGUAAACUGGCAGACAGAACACUCCUGUAAACUUCUGAAUUCAUUCUGCUGCUACCAUCAUGAGCUCCAUCAUCAAUAAAGAUUAGUGAGAAUGUUCCAGAAGCAGCCAUGCAAGCCCAAGCCAUGACGCUACCUCCACCAUGUUUCACAUGGUGAUGAACUUCUGGAUCAUGAGUAGAUUCUGUCUUUUUCCAUCACCCUGAUAGAGGUUCGUCUCGGUUCCAGAACUUUUGUGGAUCAUCUCUUUAUUUCUUCGCGAAUUCCAGUCUGGCUUUCUGAUUCUUACUGCUGAUGUGCAAGUUCUGGUAUGCUGCUAGAUUUCCGCUCUCAGAGGCUUCUUGGAACGGUGGAUUGUGAUGCCUUCACCCGUGCCCUGUGGAGGUUGUUGGUGAGGUUACUGACUGUUGUUUUGGGGUUUUUCUUUCACGGUGCUUAUCGGCUUUUCGACAGGAAUAACUCAAUCUGAUGGGAUAUACUGCACCUACAUGUAACUUACACAAACGUUUCCAGGUCUUACAAAGGGCGUUAAAGGGUUAAUGAAAAGAGAAUGAAAUGAAACCAGAAUAAGCAUAUCAUUAAGCACACAAGAUACAUGCAAUCCUCUGUAAUGAAGAAGGCUGAGAAUCUGAAGCUCGGGAUUCACCCGGGGUUUGACUCCUGGCAGUGUAAUGAAUCCAAUUAAUCUGAUUCUGAAGGCAAAAUGUAAAUGUGUAGCAGAGAAACCGAAAAAAAAGGGUUUUAUAAGUACAAUAGUGUACAUUUUCAUGGGUAAUGUACAUAGGAGGUAAUAGAUGUUUCACCGAAAAUGUUUUGUGUAAAUCUGAGCAUCAUGUCGCUAAACCUCACCGUGUGCACGAAUGCUGGAGACGGAUCUGACCGCCUGGGACAGCCACAAUCGCUUGUUUCUGUCUUUCUGUCUGCUAGGCCACGCCCCGGAAAUUUCAACGUCGCAUUCCUAUUGGGCUUCGAUUUCUAAACACAGAUUCGCCCCGCUCGUUUACAACACUGGGUAUCUACCGAGUUUAUUUUCAUUCAUUCACUUCAAUACGAGCGUUAUCAGGAUCCGGGGUCUACCAUGGGAACACUGACCGCCACGAGGAAUACACGCUGGAGAGGACAGUGGUACUGUGCAGAGAAUCCAACACAUCCACACACACACA